Molecule: ribosomal RNA, 336 nt
Filed under: Triticum aestivum (bread wheat)
Lineage: Eukaryota; Viridiplantae; Streptophyta; Magnoliopsida; Poales; Poaceae
Description: partial small subunit ribosomal RNA
Source: RNAcentral
AUGGCGCGCGGGAAGGUGGCCGAGUGCAUACGGAAGCGUGCGAUGCAGAGGAAGUCAGCGGAGGCGGGGCCGAAGAGCUGGAGCAGCUCCAGCGGGGCGCCUAGCGGGAGCGGGAAUGAUACGUUCGAGUGCGCCGGUGGCGGUGCGUCACCGGCGCACUCGAAGUCCUGGGCGAGCGCCUUCUUGUCGGCACUUUUGCGGUGGCGGCGGCUCGUGAACGUGCUGGCCGUGCUGUGGGAGCAGGUGGUGUACCACAUGAUGUGGCUGGUGGAGUCCGUGGUGUUGGUGGGAAGGCUCUGCUUCUUCCUCAUGCGCUUCGGCUUCAAGCAGCUCUGA